AUAUGUUAUCAAGUUAUUAAUUUUAAUAGAACGCAGAUCUUGAAAAUGAAAAGAGAGAACUUGAACGUACUGUGAAUGAAUUGAAAGCCAAAUGUGAAUCGAUUGAAAAGAGGGAAGCAGAGAGAAGACAGGUUGAAGAAAAGAAACAUUCCGAGGAAAUCCAAUUCUUAAAACGAACAAAUCAACAACUGAAGACUCAAUUGGAAGGUAUAAUAGCACCAAAGAAGUGACACACGAAAGAAUCUUUUUGCAUUUUCUACUUCGCCGACGGACUUCCCAAGAUUUUGACAAAACUAUUGAUGAUGUACAGCUUCUAAAUUAUAACCAGCUGUUUUAUAUUGUUUAUUCCCUUAUGGAAUGAUAUGUAAAUAAAUAUUAAUAGUUUAAUUGUGA
Non-coding RNA from Styela clava, 393 nucleotides. The record is from RefSeq and is a predicted model, not a curated record. Lineage: Eukaryota; Metazoa; Chordata; Ascidiacea; Stolidobranchia; Styelidae.